RNAcentral lists this ribosomal RNA (468 nucleotides) under uncultured bacterium. RNAcentral's name for it is "partial 16S ribosomal RNA". It matches the Rfam family "Bacterial small subunit ribosomal RNA", at positions 28 to 523 of the family's 1533-position model. The record is from RNAcentral.
GAUGAGCGCUGGCGGCGUGCCUAACACAUGCGAGUCGAGCGAUUUACUUCGGUAAAGAGCGGCGGACGGGUGAGUAACGCGUGGGUAACCUGCCCUGUACACACGGAUAACAUACUGAAAGGUAUGCUAAUACGGGAUAACAUAAGAGAGUAGCAUGGCUUUCUUAUCAAAGCUUUUGCGGUACAGGAUGGACCCGCGGCUGAUUAGCUAGUUGGUAAGGUAACGGCUUACCAAGGCAACGAUCAGUAGCCGACCUGAGAGGGUGAUCGGCCACAUUGGAACUGAGACACGGUCCAAACUCCUACGGGAGGCAGCAGUGGGGAAUAUUGCACAAUGGGCGAAAGCCUGAUGCAGCAACGCCGCGUGAGCGAUGAAGGCCUUCGGGUCGUAAAGCUCUGUCCUCAAGGAAGAUAAUGACGGUACUUGAGGAGGAAGCCCCGGCUAACUACGUGCCAGCCGCCGCCGUAA